Molecule: ribosomal RNA, 306 nt
Filed under: uncultured Peredibacter sp.
Lineage: Bacteria; Pseudomonadati; Bdellovibrionota; Bacteriovoracia; Bacteriovoracales; Bacteriovoracaceae
Description: bacterial SSU rRNA
Rfam family: Bacterial small subunit ribosomal RNA
Source: RNAcentral
GAGAGGUGCUGCAUGGCUGUCGUCAGCUCGUGUUGUGAAAUGUUGGGUUAAGUCUCGCAACGAGCGCAACCUCUAUCGUCUGUUGCCAGCAUUAAGUUAGGCACUCUGACGAGACUGCCUGGGUUAACCAGGAGGAAGGUGGAGAUGACGUCAAGUCCUCAUGGCCCUUAUGUCUAGGGCUACACACGUAAUACAAUGGCGCGUACAGAGGGAAGCGAACUCGCGAGGGGGAGCAAAUCUCAAAAAGCGCGUCUCAGUCCGGAUGGGAGUCUGCAACUCGACUCCAUGAAGUUGGAAUCGCUAGUA